UUAUUUUUCUCUUCUCCAACUUGAGCUGCUUUGGUAUACUACAGUGAUCCCAAAUGAUCCUAGAAUUCAAGCAGGCUUGCCCUGGAACCUUGCACACAGGAACAGUGGUAACCAAGACCUGGGAAUGCUGACUUUGCUAUACAUAUGAUCAAUCCAAACCAUGCUGAUCCCACCUGACCGAAUCUUGAGUCUCACAGUAUUUUAGACUCAAGUUGUCACAUUUCUUGAAAAACAGAACUUUGACUUUAACUGUAUGGAAUCUAUGGACCAAUUUUGGGAGCACUGAUAUCUUUACAAUAUUGAAUCUUUCUAUUUGACUUAUUUUUAACUUUCCCAGGGAAUAGUUGAGAGACUGGGAGCAGUGUCCUUCACCUUAGGAAUCUGAAUCUCCUUCCAGAAGAAACUAACGCCGUUCUCAAUACAGACUUACGAGAUACACUCCCUUCCUGUUCAUAAAACUGAAGAAGAUUAACACAGCGGACUCAUGGAAAUGAGAAGACAUCACCAGAAGGGAAUCUUUU
This is a long non-coding RNA of Ailuropoda melanoleuca (giant panda), 521 nucleotides long. RefSeq lists it as uncharacterized. The record is from RefSeq and is a predicted model, not a curated record. The transcript is spliced from 4 exons. Lineage: Eukaryota; Metazoa; Chordata; Mammalia; Carnivora; Ursidae.